Molecule: ribosomal RNA, 468 nt
Filed under: uncultured bacterium
Lineage: Bacteria
Description: partial 16S ribosomal RNA
Rfam family: Bacterial small subunit ribosomal RNA
Source: RNAcentral
GACGAACGCUGGCGGCGUGCUUAACACAUGCAAGUCGAACGGAAAGGCCCUGCUUUUGUGGGGUGCUCGAGUGGCGAACGGGUGAGUAACACGUGAGUAACCUGCCCUUGACUUUGGGAUAACUUCAGGAAACUGGGGCUAAUACCGGAUAGGAGCUCCUGCUGCAUGGUGGGGGUUGGAAAGUUUCGGCGGUUGGGGAUGGACUCGCGGCGUAUCAGCUUGUUGGUGGGGGAGUGGCUUACCAAGGCUUUGACGGGUAGCCGGCCUGGGAGGGUGACCGGCCACAUUGGGACUGAGGUACGGCCCAGACUCCUACGGGAGGCAGCAGUGGGGAAUAUUGCACAAUGGGCGGAAGCCUGAUGCAGCAACGCCGCGUGCGGGAUGACGGCCUUCGGGUUGUAAACCGCUUUCGCCUGUGACGAAGCGUGAGUGACGGUAAUGGGUAAAGAAGCACCGGCUAACUACGUG